This 433-nucleotide ribosomal RNA is filed under the name uncultured bacterium. RNAcentral's name for it is "partial 16S ribosomal RNA". It matches the Rfam family "Bacterial small subunit ribosomal RNA", at positions 29 to 507 of the family's 1533-position model. The record is from RNAcentral.
AACGAACGCUGGCGGCAUGCCUAACACAUGCAAGUCGAACGAGACCUUCGGGUCUAGUGGCGCACGGGUGCGUAACGCGUGGGAACCUGCCCUUAGGUUCGGAAUAACUCCCCGAAAGGGGUGCUAAUACCGGAUAAUGUCUUCGGACCAAAGAUUUAUCGCCUUUGGAUGGGCCCGCGUUGGAUUAGCUAGUUGGUAGGGUAAAAGCCUACCAAGGCGACGAUCCAUAGCUGGUCUGAGAGGAUGAUCAGCCACACUGGGACUGAGACACGGCCCAGACUCCUACGGGAGGCAGCAGUGGGGAAUAUUGGACAAGGGGCGAAAGCCUGAUCCAGCAAUGCCGCGUGAGUGAUGAAGGCCUUAGGGUUGUAAAGCUCUUUUAGCCGGGAUGAUAAUGACAGUACCGGGAGAAUAAGCUCCGGCUAACUACGUG